RNAcentral lists this ribosomal RNA (1030 nucleotides) under Acinetobacter sp. Its description in RNAcentral is "bacterial SSU rRNA". It matches the Rfam family "Bacterial small subunit ribosomal RNA", at positions 35 to 1058 of the family's 1533-position model. The record is from RNAcentral. Lineage: Bacteria; Pseudomonadati; Pseudomonadota; Gammaproteobacteria; Moraxellales; Moraxellaceae.
GCGGGGGGCGGGGGGCUUAACACAUGCAAGUCGAGCGGAGUGAUGGUGCUUGCACUAUCACUUAGCGGCGGACGGGUGAGUAAUGCUUAGGAAUCUGCCUAUUAGUGGGGGACAACAUUUCGAAAGGAAUGCUAAUACCGCAUACGUCCUACGGGAGAAAGCAGGGGAUCUUCGGACCUUGCGCUAAUAGAUGAGCCUAAGUCGGAUUAGCUAGUUGGUGGGGUAAAGGCCUACCAAGGCGACGAUCUGUAGCGGGUCUGAGAGGAUGAUCCGCCACACUGGGACUGAGACACGGCCCAGACUCCUACGGGAGGCAGCAGUGGGGAAUAUUGGACAAUGGGCGGAAGCCUGAUCCAGCCAUGCCGCGUGUGUGAAGAAGGCCUUAUGGUUGUAAAGCACUUUAAGCGAGGAGGAGGCUACUUUAGUUAAUACCUAGAGAUAGUGGACGUUACUCGCAGAAUAAGCACCGGCUAACUCUGUGCCAGCAGCCGCGGUAAUACAGAGGGUGCAAGCGUUAAUCGGAUUUACUGGGCGUAAAGCGCGCGUAGGCGGCUAAUUAAGUCAAAUGUGAAAUCCCCGAGCUUAACUUGGGAAUUGCAUUCGAUACUGGUUAGCUAGAGUGUGGGAGAGGAUGGUAGAAUUCCAGGUGUAGCGGUGAAAUGCGUAGAGAUCUGGAGGAAUACCGAUGGCGAAGGCAGCCAUCUGGCCUAACACUGACGCUGAGGUGCGAAAGCAUGGGGAGCAAACAGGAUUAGAUACCCUGGUAGUCCAUGCCGUAAACGAUGUCUACUAGCCGUUGGGGCCUUUGAGGCUUUAGUGGCGCAGCUAACGCGAUAAGUAGACCGCCUGGGGAGUACGGUCGCAAGACUAAAACUCAAAUGAAUUGACGGGGGCCCGCACAAGCGGUGGAGCAUGUGGUUUAAUUCGAUGCAACGCGAAGAUCUUACCUGGUCUUGACAUAGUAGGACUUUCCAGAGAUGGAUUGGUGCCUUCGGGAACUUACAUACAGGUGCUGCAUGGCUGUCGUCAG